Molecule: long non-coding RNA, 1824 nt
Organism: Heterocephalus glaber (naked mole-rat)
Lineage: Eukaryota; Metazoa; Chordata; Mammalia; Rodentia; Bathyergidae
Source: Ensembl
GCCAAGGAUUAGAGAGGCAUUGUUAAGACAUUAAAGCAAGUUUUCAUCCUAGUCUCCACUGUGUCUCCUUUAACUUUGCCCCAAAAGAUGAAGUUCCCCAUGCCCCUUGAUUGAAUUAUAUGCUGUCUGACUUGGACAACUGCAUUUGGGAAGAAAAGAAAAGCGAGAGGGGGGAGAGGGUAGACAGGGAGCAGAGAAAUGUAAUUUUACUGACUUGCAGACCCUUUUAAGCAACUGACCUCAUGCUCUGCAGAACCUGUUGAGCUAAUAGCAUGUUGGGGUGCCCAAAUUAUUAACAUGUAAUGGGGAAAUGCAUUCCUCAAAUGCAAAGUAAAAGCACCUUGACUCAGAACUCUAGAUCUCAUUAAAUGAGCUAAUUCACCUACUGCUUAAUUUGCUGGAAGCCCUAUGAGUAAUUAGGCUGCUGACAUCUUCCAAAAUUAUAUUCUUAAUUGUUGCAUUCUUUUGCAUCACAAUGAAGCUGGCCACCCUUCUUCCUAGGCUGCCUUCCUCCUCUCCCUGCCAGAGCUCUGUAGUGAGGCGAAGAAAGACCAAGGACCUAAGCAAGAAAUGAGAAUGGGCAGGAGGCCCAAUGUGCUCUGUGAAGGGGGUUGGAUUCAAACAGAUCUGACUGCAAGCCAGCUACACAAUAUAAUAGCUCUGAACUCAGGGUCCUUGCUCUCCCCAAGCCUCCAUUUCCUCUUUGACAAAGUUGGACCAUGAUACUUACCUCAGAAUCAGCUCUGAAGAUUAAAGGAGAAGAUGUUGGGCAACGUGUCAAACACUGUGCCGGGCACACAAAGUGCAGAAGAAAGGUUAAUUUCCAUCCUACCCCUGUUCCUCCCCAUCUCCUUGAGGUGUCAGAAUUGAAGUCAUAAAAGGAGAAAGCAAAAUCAGUAACCAGUAGCAGAAGACGGGGAGUUAAGGAGAAAAAUGAGAAGCCAUCUGACUUCAUUAUGAUAGAGAAUUUUGCUCUUUUGAAGGCAGCUUUGGGAAGAUGAGAUCCAUAUGUUCUUCUUCAUCUAUGGUAGAAUUUCUUGAAGAUAUCAGAACCACAACGAGAGAGUAGUACCGGUAUUAGCCACUGCUCACUGAGCCAAGUUGUGGACUUACUGAUACACUUAGACCAGCUCUACACCCAACAAUAGCUUGGCACUGCCUUCAUAAAGAAACAUGCCAAAACUGAGAUACCCAAGAAGGAAUAAAGCUGGGAUUGGAGCUGUUUGAUUCUAACACUACCUGGGUGGUAUUCACUAGUCCUACUGUACCUCUGUUAAAUACAUACUGCACAACCACAAUAAUCUUUUGAGUGAAUUGCAAGCUAACCCUUUGGCUUUAUGUGGGGGCUUUACCUAAAAUGGAUUCUGGUGGAAAUGGCAGUUCCCUUUUGCAUGCCCCAAAUCUGGCACACAGUAGCUGCCUUCUUACUGAGUACCAAACAUAUAAAUAGACAAUGAGAUAAAUCAAACUUAAAUAGGCCACCAGGGUAAAACCACACCUCACCCAAAGACAGAGCCAAAGUACGUGCCCUUCCUCACUGCCUGCAAAUGCCAUCUGGUCAGAGGAGCUCAGCACCUCUGUCCAGGGCUUGAGAGCAGGAAAUGAAGGUCAACUUCCUGUCAUGGAGGCAGAGAAUAUUCCAUAAACCACACUUAAUUUCCAAGGUGAGUUUUGACCUGAACAUGAGAGUGAUCUCUCACAGGUGCAUGAAGUUUUCAAGAAUGGAUGCAGAGCUGACCCUCACUCACUUUUCUACUCACAGCCAAUGGAUCCAUGUUGGCCAACCUGAUGUUAGGCAGCUUUUUCGGUGGACCUGCCGUCUAG